UACGGAGGGGGCUAGCGUUGUUCGGAAUUACUGGGCGUAAAGCGCACGUAGGCGGCUUUGUAAGUUAGAGGUGAAAGCCCGGGGCUCAACUCCGGAAUUGCCUUUAAGACUGCAUCGCUAGAAUUGUGGAGAGGUAAGUGGAAUUCCGAGUGUAGAGGUGAAAUUCGUAGAUAUUCGGAAGAACACCAGUGGCGAAGGACGACUUACUGGACACAUAUUGACGCUGAGGUGCGAAAGCGUGGGGAGCAAACAGG
This 254-nucleotide ribosomal RNA is filed under the name uncultured bacterium. Its description in RNAcentral is "partial 16S ribosomal RNA". It matches the Rfam family "Bacterial small subunit ribosomal RNA", at positions 524 to 776 of the family's 1533-position model. The record is from RNAcentral.